This is a non-coding RNA of Mycena leptocephala, 94 nucleotides long. NCBI's taxonomy places the organism in Eukaryota, Fungi, Basidiomycota, Agaricomycetes, Agaricales, Mycenaceae. The record is from the annotation of a GenBank genome assembly.
GUCCCUGUGGAUCAAUGCAGAUCGCUCCAUUCAAUUAGAGUGGGAUAUCAGUCAAAUUACUGGAGAGACGGGCGUUCGAACCGCCCCGGGGAUA